AGGUCGGGAGGAUGACAGCUCGAGUGUAUUUGUCGUUGAUUGCUGUUUUGUCGUAUCUGUUCGGAUACUUGAGCAUAACUCACGCUAUUCAAAGAGGAACCACAGUGGAUGGUUUAUGUCCGGCGAGGCUGACUGUCGUGCCGUCCCAUCGAAGAUGUUCUUCUGAUAAAGACUGCCCUGGAG
This is a long non-coding RNA of Sinocyclocheilus rhinocerous, 183 nucleotides long. RefSeq lists it as uncharacterized. The record is from RefSeq and is a predicted model, not a curated record. The transcript has 2 exons. Lineage: Eukaryota; Metazoa; Chordata; Actinopteri; Cypriniformes; Cyprinidae.